RNAcentral lists this ribosomal RNA (334 nucleotides) under uncultured bacterium. RNAcentral describes it as "bacterial SSU rRNA". It matches the Rfam family "Bacterial small subunit ribosomal RNA", at positions 568 to 898 of the family's 1533-position model. The record is from RNAcentral.
CGCGUAGGCAGGUAUUUAAGUCGAUUGUGAAAUCCCUGGGCUUAACCUAGGAAUUGCAUUCGAUACUGAAUGUCUUGAGUAUGGUAGAGGAAAGUGGAAUUCUCGGUGUAGUGGUAAAAUACGUAGAUAUCGAGAAGAACACCGGUGGCGAAGGCGACUUUCUGGACCAAUACUGACGCUGAGGCGCGAAAGCGUGGGGAGCAAACAGGAUUAGAUACCCUGGUAGUCCACGCUGUAAACGAUGAGAACUAGAUGUUGGGUGGCACCUUUGCCACACAGUAUCGUAGCUAACGCAUUAAGUUCUCCGCCUGGGGAGUACGAUCGCAAGAUUAAA